AUACGUAGGGGGCGAGCGUUGUCCGGAAUGAUUGGGCGUAAAGGGCGCGUAGGCGGCCCGGUAAGUCUGGAGUGAAAGUCCUGUUUUUAAGAUGGGAAUUGCUUUGGAUACUGUCGGGCUUGAGUGCAGGAGAGGUAAGUGGAAUUCCCAGUGUAGCGGUGAAAUGCGUAGAGAUUGGGAGUAACACCAGUGGCGAAGGCGACUUACUGGACUGUAACUGACGCUGAGACGCACAAGUGUGGGGAGCACACAGGAUUAGAUACCCUGAUAGUCCGAACUGUAAACGAUGAAUGCUAGGUGUAGGGAGUAUCGUCCCAUUCUGUGCCGCAGUCAACACAAUAAGCAUUCCGCCUUGGGAGUACGGCCGCAAGGUUGAAACUCAAAUGAAUGGACGGGA
This 397-nucleotide ribosomal RNA is filed under the name uncultured bacterium. RNAcentral describes it as "partial 16S ribosomal RNA". It matches the Rfam family "Bacterial small subunit ribosomal RNA", at positions 523 to 918 of the family's 1533-position model. The record is from RNAcentral.